UACGUAGGUGGCAAGCGUUGUCCGGAAUUAUUGGGCGUAAAGCGCGCGCAGGCGGUCCUUUAAGUCUGAUGUGAAAGCCCACGGCUCAACCGUGGAAGGUCAUUGGAAACUGGAGGGCUUGAGUACAGAAGAGGAAAGCGGAAUUCCACGUGUAGCGGUGAAAUGCGUAGAGAUGUGGAGGAACACCAGUGGCGAAGGCGGCUUUCUGGUCUGUAACUGACGCUGAGGCGCGAAAGCGUGGGGAGCAAACAGG
RNAcentral lists this ribosomal RNA (253 nucleotides) under uncultured bacterium. RNAcentral's name for it is "partial 16S ribosomal RNA". It matches the Rfam family "Bacterial small subunit ribosomal RNA", at positions 524 to 776 of the family's 1533-position model. The record is from RNAcentral.